UACAGAGGUGGCAAGCGUUGUUCGGAUUUACUGGGCGUAAAGGGCGCGUAGGCGGUUUCGUAUGUCGAAUGUGAAAUCUCACUGCUCAACGGUGAAACUGCAUUCGAAACUACGGGACUAGAGUACAGGAGAGGAGAGCGGAAUUCUUGGUGUAGCAGUGAAAUGCGUUGAUAUCAAGAGGAACACCGGUGGCGAAGGCGGCUCUCUGGAAUGUAACUGACGCUGAGGCACGAAAGUUGGGGGAG
This 245-nucleotide ribosomal RNA is filed under the name uncultured bacterium. Its description in RNAcentral is "partial 16S ribosomal RNA". It matches the Rfam family "Bacterial small subunit ribosomal RNA", at positions 524 to 768 of the family's 1533-position model. The record is from RNAcentral.